Molecule: unclassified non-coding RNA, 249 nt
Filed under: uncultured fungus
Lineage: Eukaryota; Fungi
Also listed under: 1 other name
Description: partial contains 5.8S ribosomal RNA, internal transcribed spacer 2, and large subunit ribosomal RNA
Source: RNAcentral
AACGCACAUUGCGCCCCUUGGUAUUCCAUGGGGCAUGCCUGUUCGAGCGUCAUUUGUACCUUCAAGCUCUGCUUGGUGUUGGGUGUUUGUCCCGCCUUUGUGCGCGGACUCGCCUUAAAGCAAUUGGCAGCCGGCGUAUAGAUUUCGGAGCGCAGCACAAUCCGCGCUUUGUACUCAUUACGACGACAUCCAUCAAGACAUUUUUUAACUCUUGACCUCGGAUCAGGUAGGGAUACCCGCUGAACUUAA